This 8037-nucleotide long non-coding RNA is filed under the name Malus domestica (apple). Its description in RNAcentral is "long non-coding RNA (MDOM_LNC001239)". Lineage: Eukaryota; Viridiplantae; Streptophyta; Magnoliopsida; Rosales; Rosaceae. The record is from RNAcentral.
AGACAAUGGGAAGGUAAUUGUUGCUGAGUACAUUCUUCCGGUAGCUCCGGACGGUAGCCUUGCCACCAAGGAAGUUGUCCAUAGCGACGCGAUCAUGUUAGCUCACAACCCCGGCGGAAAAGAGAGGACGGAGAAGGAGUUCGAGGCCUUGGCUAAGGGAUCUGGAUUCCAAGGCUUUCGAGUCGUGUGCUCUGCUUUCAACACCUAUGCCAUUGAAUUUCUUAAGAAGAAUUGAGUAUAAUUUGCCCUUGGUAUGCUGCCAUCUGCAUUUAUAUUGCUUUGGUUUUUUAUAUGGUGAUCGUGUAUCCGUACGUGGACUUUACACAUAAGUAGGUUUUCAUAUGUUAGAAAAAAAUAAUAAGAAAGUGAUUUUGUUGCUUUGAUAACAUGUAGAAUUAUGACUCUUUGUAUUGUUAUGUGAAAAAUAUUACAAUAUACAUACAAGGUUACAUUAGUCCCUAUUGAAAUAGGAAUGUUACACUAAUUACAAUUAAAUAUUACAUUCCUAUAAUACAUGUGACAACUACGACGGACAAAUUACAUGUCUAUAUUGCCACAAACACAAAAUCAAAACCUCAUGGAUUUUCUUAUCACCUUAACUUACCCGUCAAUUGAUUUCGACAUACGACCUGUUUGGUGCCUAAAUCCGCCAUGGGCCUCGCGGGCAAGCCGGGGAUUUACUUCACAUACGAGAUUGAUAGGUGCGGGCGUGCCACUACUAGAUGCCGCUAGUAGACGGGAUUUGAAUGAUUGAGGUUGCGCCUUUUGACUUCAAAUCAAGAGAUUGUGCCAUUUGAGUGGGAGUUGCUCAAAUCAAGGUUCUUUCUUUGCCUUAAAAAUAAGGACUUUACUUAUAUGGAGAGAUAGAACAAUAUGUAAAUGAUAAGGUUGCUCGGAAAUGUAAAUGAUAGAGGAAAGUGACUAAUAUUGCAGAUUGCUUGUAAUUUAAAUGACUGAAAAUGAGUUGUACAUGAAAACUAUAAAGGAGAUCGAUACUACAAGUGAGCAGCAGAGCUAAUAAACUAGACAAAAGAUGGCUUUUGUACAUGAAAACUAUAAAGGAGAUCGAUACUACAAGUGAGCAGCACAACUAAUAAACUAGACAAAAGAUGGCUUUUGUGAGGGCUGAUCCUGAAAAUGAUGAAGGUUUGGGGGGCUGACUACAGCUUCGUGUGAAGGCAAAUCUAGUUUGAGCAGAGUUUGUGCUUGUAUUUGUUUGUUUGAUUGAGUGUCCAUAAUCCUUCUCCAUCUGCUUCUUUAUAUAGAGGUCUGGAAGAGCCCCCUUGUUGAGAUCUUUGUACUUGCCCGAAAGAAGCUUGGGCAGCUUGCAUUGCAUUUGCCAACUUGCAUGUAGAAACAAUAUUAAAAGGGAAACUUGCAUCUCCACCACAUGUUUUUAGCACAUGUCUCCCCACUUGUAAUAAACUAACAAUUAAAACAGAAGCAAAUUGCAUCUCCACCACAUGCCUUUUCCCACUUGCAAUAAAAUAAUUAAAAAAAGCAAACUAGCUUCUUUCACUACACAUUCUUGCCCGAAAGCAUGCAUGGUAUAUUUCCAUCCACUUGCAUGAAAAAGCAUGCACUUAUCUUGAUUAAACAACUCUCUUGACAAAGCUCCACCACCCAAACAAAUGGGAAAAACAAUAUUAUAGUGCCAAACCAUCCACUUGCAGCCAAAUAUCUUUCCAAGUUAGCUUUCUUGCAUAUUAAUCCUUCAAAUACCAUAUUUUACCCCAAUGGCCCAAAUAAGUAAAAAUGGGCACAUUUUGGGUGCAAACACGACCGCUCAUACACAAGAACUCUCCUAAAACAGAAAAAAUGGCAAGAAGGGAAUAAUAAAAUGACAUUCAUAUUAUUUUCAUGACGUACCUAUCAAAUUAUUAUCCAUGAUGUUCAUUCAAACUGGUAUUAUGUUAUAGGCUUUCCCGUUAUUCAUGUUGUCAUUAUAUUUGUUCAGCUUAGAACACAAUAAGAAACAAAAUUAAAAGCCAGUAAAAUCAUAAAAAAAAAAUAACCCAUUGACUAAUUGAGUAUAACACUAGCAAAAACGUCCGCGCUCCGCUGCAGGGAAUGACACAAAUAUAAUCUUAUACGAUCUAAUUGUUUUUGUUAUUCCUAGUUCUUUUUGGCAUUGUGUGCAAAAAAAACGGAAACUCCAAGCAAGAAAUUGAUAGCUGAGAAGAAACGAAUGACUACAAACAUUUUCAUUAAACAUUUCUAUUCCAUUUGCAAUGUCAGAAGUAUGAUCUUCUUGUAUCCCCUGAUUUCUUUUGCUAUUUCUAGUUCUUUUCCUCUCUGACUACGGUCCAAGAGACCCAGAAAACUGCAGCGAUGCAAAUUGCUACCGGAAUCAUGAAAAAUUAAAAUUAAUAAGACUCGUUCGAAUCAUAUUACAAUGCAUGCCAAACCACAACAUCUGAUAAUCCAUAAAUUAAACGAAAUUGAAAAUGAAGUUCAGCAGCUGGGACAAAAAUAAAAACACAAAAUACUAACUCAAGCGCCUGCACAUAUAAACACCACAUAAAAAUCACACAAAAAAACGAAAACAACAGCUGAGACACGCUUAUGUAAAAAUCCAACAUGCAUAGUUCUUUUAAUUCCAACACAGAAACAACAAAAAUUUCUGAAAAAAUACCCAUACGAAUUCAACUUAAAUCCCAAAAUCCAAUCCCCCAAAAAAACCAUAAUUUCAAAUACCACAAACAUGCAAAGGCCAAAUCAAAGCUGCAAGUCGUUUUAGAUUUUACCGAAUAAUAGGAACAAUUUAAUUCCCUAAUUAUGAGGGAAUAAUCCGAAAAUCUGGAAAAAUAAAGAGGUCUAAAACCCUCGGCCGAGAUCGACCUGGAAGAACACACAAGUCAGAUUGGGUCUCCACAAUAGAUAAAAACAGACAGAGAAUCUUCGUUUCUUGAAUUUCUGAGAGAAAAUUUAUGAUUUUUGAUAGGAUUUUUAUCACCUACAAAAGUAGGGAUAAAAACACUUAAAAAAUAAUUGCAAGAGUACAAGUGACACGCCCCAACCGAGGCCAAGGCAUGCUGGCCGUUACGUGAGAGUGACGUAGUCAUGUGCAUAGUACGGAAGCGAUAAAGAUAGCAAACAUACGAAUAAUUAAAAACCAUAUUAAUAUAGUGCACUACUAGCAGGGAGUGAUAGGAGUUAGUUACAACCGUAAACUCUCCUAAUCAGAGCAUAAUAAGUCUAGGUGCAGUCCAGUAGGACAAGUACUAGUUACACAGUACAAGGAAUGUCCUACUAUAAUAUAGAAUAGUCAGAACAACCAACGUCCUUGAGCCACCAACAGCGACUUACUUAAAACCUGAAAGGGCGCAAAACAGAAAACGUGAGUGGGUAAAAACAAAUGUUUUACAAAAUCGUUUUCUUUAUCAACAUAUCUAACCCCUCGCUGUAAAACAUGUAUAAUUUUUCCCAGAAUCAGAAUAUAAGCAUAUGCAUAAUAUAUAAAUAUAUAUGAAAUCAUAACAAUUCAAUUCAUGCUUCACAUAAUCAUAUUCAAAUAUAUACCAUGUUAAUAUAUAACAGAGUAAGCAAUUCAGGUAAGAAUAAAUUCAUAGAAUAUGAUAUGUUAGCUGGAACCCAUGUGGUAGUCUGUACGGCUGAAUUCAUAGCUCAAACUCAAUCUAGCCGGAGUCACUACUAUGACCUAUACGGCAAUAUACUGCACAUAAGUUGGAACCACUGAAAAUGUUCUGUACGACAAAGUUGGGUGAAAUAUAAUUAUGCUCAAUGAUACGCCCUCAUGCUAGCUGUGCGAUAAAUAGUUAGUCACCUACGAGUCGGAACCACUUAUAGUGGUCUGUAUGACAAGACUGUGUACCUAAAUUGGAUCCAAUGUGAGCAUAUGGUGCGAGAGGUGACAUAAUAUACAGGCAUGUGCCAACUCUCUCUGGCUAAAUCGCAAUCACCCGGGGUGCAGGUUUAUGAGCUCAUUGUUUUCAAUCAUAACUCAUAUAGAAAAUCAACAUGUUCAUCUCAUUUAUUGAAUAGCUACAUCUAACAUCUCGUUAGACUGCCUACGUACCCUAAACAGGGAUCAAGCCGUUCGUAGUUCACCUAAUCAAACAUAACUUACUUGAACUUACAUGUGCCUCCACAACACCACAUUUAUAUAUAUAUAUAUAUAUAUAAAUAUAUACAACCAUGAAAUGCAUAUUUAGAAUAUAAAGGCAUUUGACAUAUUAUUUCAAAGCAUAUUUUCAUUUAAAACACAUUUCUGGGAAAUAUAUCAAGUAUAUAAUUAUAUACUGAAAGCAAAAGCCCACUCACUGAUAUGUUGAAGGGUUGUAACCCCCGAGUCGCCCGUGGAUACGCUCGUCCUCGGGAUAAGCCUCACCUAUAUGCAAAUUAACUAUAAAACGUUAUUUUAAAGCACAUAUACAAAACUAGCUAAUAACUUCUCAUACAUUGCUCAAAAUGGGUAUAUGAAUAUACCACAGUGAUCUAUACAACCUCACGAACAUCGUGAUAUUUUUAGAUAAAUUUUUAGGUGGCUCACGCGCCCCACGCGCCCCCUACGCGCAUCAUCUUCAACCUCCAGACACCAGAACUGUUCACCGGCACCAGAUUCUGGGCAGACCUUCAAACCCACUAUUCUCCUUCAUUUCUCAACCAUUUUCUACGAAAUUUUCACCCAAAUGUCACAAAUUUCAAGAGGAAGAAGGUUAUACUUCUUUGGAGCCUUAAAUCCUUCGGAAACACCUCUGAAAAAUCUCGUCAAAACCGGCCACUUUCGAACCUCGUGAUCCCGACGUCCAAAAGCUUCAAACGAAGCACUCCGAGCUUCCUUGUGACCUCACUAAGCUCGCUAUAAGCUUGGAUUGUCCUAAAACACAACCAUUUAAAAGUUCAUGAAUAGUGCUCAACUUGGAGCUUGAAUUUUCAACGUGAUAUUGAACGAGUUCUUACCUGAAAUGGGUACCCUUGAACUCAUAUGAUCCUCACAAACACAAUGGUGCCAUUUUCUUCCUCGAUCAGUGAAGAUUUGGCUUGGUUUGACCUUGUCCGUACGGAGGAGAGGGAAAAGAGAGUGAGUCCAAGAGAGAGAGAGUGCACGGGAAUGAGAGAGAGAAUUGAGGUGAUGUGGAUAUGUGUGUGUGGUCCAACCUACACACCAAUCACAACUAACUAAGGUUAAGUUCUCAUUGGCCCCAAAAACUUAGGAAAAUAACCACAUUGGUCCAUUUCUAAAACUGUCACAUACGACUCACAAUGCCAUAAACGCUCAAGGGCAUUUUAGUCUUUUCACAUCCGCGAUAACAAAAUAAUGUACAUUUUCGGGAUGGGUUGUGACAACAAGAUUGUCGUAGAAUAGCAACUCAAGCAAUAUCAUUUUCCACAGGAAUUGAAUGAAUAAUUUGUAUUUAAACUAAUUUUUAGCUAAUUAUUUAGAACAAAGUUUUGAAACUGUUGAUUUUGGAAUUUAAAAUAAUAAAAACGAAUUUAAAUGAAAAUAAUUAAAUAUUUGACAAAGUAAAGAAAGCAAAAGAACAACGUUUUGAAAAUCAAAUUGUAAAAGCCUAGGAUUCUGCCGUCCCCUUAAUAAUCCUAUGCAAUUUUACCAAUUACUUAUGAAUUUAUACAUACAUGCUUUGAAGGUUAGGUUUUCCUAAUGCAUAUUUUCCUCGUGAUGUUCAAGCGAAAACGUAUAUCUAACAUGCAACCCGUCUAUGAUGUUCAUAUCAAAUAUAAACAUGCAAGACUCAUUAAGUUUUGUGAAAACCCUUUGAAAAAUCAUGCAACCCUUAAAAACGUGAUGUUUGCCUUAAGUGAACUUACAAUUACUAAUCACAAGAAGCCCUCCUCAAUUUCAAGGUGAUGUUCCAAUAGAAAUUGCAUCAAAUUAUUUGUCUAAAAACCCGGUGAUUAAUAAUUUCAAGCAAACAUGCAUUCAUUCAUAAGCUAAUUAAUAAAAUCACAUAUUCAUGCUAAGGCUUGUGGCUUCGCCUUUAGCAAAAGAAACUACCUACUAACAAUCAUAAAACAAAAUAUUAUUAAGAAUAAGGAUAGAAAACACCUAAAAAAUAAACUUGAAAAACUCUCUAAAGUAUGCGUGCGUUUCCUCCUCUCCUUCCCUUCUAACCCUAACGGCUAAAAAGUCUUAUUUAUACUACUACAAAUAAAACCCUAAAAAGUCUUAGAAUAAAACUAGGAAACAUAAUAAAAUAAUAAAACUGAAAUAAAAGGUUUCUAUGUAAACUUAAAUUCAGACUUAUUAGAAAAUCAGACUUUUGACCGACCAAAUCAACUUCGAUUUGGUCCCAAAAUGUCUCUUUUGAAAGCUAGAGACGUCCCCCACAAAUCCUUGGAAGGAAUCUUCCUCAAAAUAUGUCAUAUGUACUAAUUAAGUUUACAUAAUCUAAUUUUUCAACCAAUUCUUUUUCAAUAGCCUAUGAUAUUAUUUUUUUAAAAUUUUUAUUGAAUUUUAAUUGUAAAAUUUUUAUUUAUAUAUUUUUAAAAAAUCUGGGGCCCCUCCAAAGUGGAAGCCUUAGGCGGGCACCUACUUCGGCUACCCUCAAGGCCGACCUUGAGAUUCCUACAAAGAGGAUCCGGAUUCAAUAAAAGAAGGGGGAGUUGUUUUAACAAACCCAUAAAUUAUCUUAUUAUUGUGAGUUACGCGGGCCUUGAAACACGUGGUAGGUGGGUUGGCCUAGUUUACAAGAUUGCUUGUACUUUGGUAUUGUAGAUUGGAAAUGGAUUAUCUCCGGAUCCCUUCUACCAAGUCUACUAAGUCCACCUAUCUGGACUAUUGAAAUUUGAUUCAACAAUUAAAGUUAUUAUAAUUUUUGAAGGGGCUCUCUUAUUUGUAGCCGUUGGAUCAAAUUUCAAGGGUCCGGAUGGAUGAACUUGGUGGAAGAGAUCUGAAGAGGAUCCCUUUCCUUGUAGAUUAAGCUUUAAACACAGAUGAGUCAUGCAUGCUUGUUUUGGGUUUGUGCAAGUACAACUUGAAAGAUGCAGUCCUUGAAGGAGGUAUCCCAUUCAACAAGGCCUACGGAAUGACUGCUUUUGAGUACCAUGGCACUGACCCCAGAUUCAACAAGGGAAUGGCUAACCACUCUACCAUUACCAUGAAGAACCUUCUUGAGAACUACAAUGGCUUUGAGGGCCUCACAUCCAUCGUUGAUGUUGGUGGUGGCACCGGCAUUGUCCUUAACAUGAUCGUCUUUAAAUACCCUUCGAUUAAGGGCAUUAACUUCGACCUGCCUUAUGUCAUCGAAGAUGCUCCCCAAUAUCCUGGUAUGUUCUUCAUUUCUAAUAAUGUUCGUAGUUCAAUUACUUAAAAGCAUUCACCUUUACAUUCGAUCUCUCAAGUUCAAUUUCUCUUCCCCUAACAUUAUUGCAUAUAAAAAUAAUAUUGGUACUAUUUAUCAUUUUUCCUAAUGAAUAUCAGGUCAAUGGAUGUUGAAUAUAGGUGUGGAGCAUGUUGGAGGAGACAUGUUUGUGAGUGUUCCAAAGGGAGAUGCAAUUUUUAUGAAGGUGAGUUAUUAUUUAUCAAAAAAGAACCGAUGAUUAUUUUGUAGUGCUAAUAUUCAUUUCUCAUAGGAGCUUAGUUGCUCAACAUAUUUGGAACUAAUAUCAAAUCCUGUAUGAAAUCUUACAGUGGAUAUGCCACGACUGGAGUGACGAGCAUUGCUUGAAAUUUUUGAAGAACUGCUAUUCUGCGCUCCCAGACAAUGGGAAGGUAAUUGUUGCUGAGUGCAUUCUUCCGGUAGCUCCGGACAGUAGCCUUGCCACCAAGGGAGUUGUCCAUAUCGACGCGAUCAUGUUAGCUCACAACCCCGGCGGAAAAGAGAGGACGGAGAAGGAGUUCGAGGCCUUGGCUAAGGGAUCUGGAUUCCAAGGCUUUCGAGUCGUGUGCUCUGCUUUCAACACCUAUGCCAUUGAAUUUCUUAAGAAGAAUUGAGUAUAAUUUACCUUUGGUAUGCUGCCAUCUGCAUUUAUAUUGCUUUGGUUUUUUAUAUGGUGAUCGUGUAUCCAUACGUGGAUGUUACACGAUAAGUAGGUUUUCAUAUGUUAGAAAAA